This 568-nucleotide ribosomal RNA is filed under the name uncultured fungus. RNAcentral's name for it is "eukaryotic LSU rRNA". The stretch from base 208 to 361 matches the Rfam family "5.8S ribosomal RNA". Lineage: Eukaryota; Fungi. The record is from RNAcentral.
CGUAACAAGGUCUCCGUAGGUGAACCUGCGGAGGGAUCAUUACACAAAUAUGAAGGCGGGCUGGAACCUCUCGGGGUUACAGCCUUGCUGAAUUAUUCACCCUUGUCUUUUGCGUACUUCUUGUUUCCUUGGUGGGUUCGCCCACCACUAGGACAAACAUAAACCUUUUGUAAUUGCAAUCAGCGUCAGUAACAAAUUAAUAAUUACAACCUUCAACAACGGAUCUCUUGGUUCUGGCAUCGAUGAAGAACGCAGCGAAAUGCGAUAAGUAGUGUGAAUUGCAGAAUUCAGUGAAUCAUCGAAUCUUUGAACGCACAUUGCGCCCUUUGGUAUUCCAAAGGGCAUGCCUGUUCGAGCGUCAUUUGUACCCUCAAGCUUUGCUUGGUGUUGGGCGUCUUGUCUCUAGCUUUGCUGGAGACUCGCCUUAAAGUAAUUGGCAGCCGGCCUACUGGUUUCGGAGCGCAGCACAAGUCGCACUCUCUAUCAGCAAAGGUCUAGCAUCCAUUAAGCCUUUUUUUUCAACUUUUGACCUCGGAUCAGGUAGGGAUACCCGCUGAACUUAAGCAUA